UAGAUUUGACAUGCUGGGAAAAGCCGUAGAGAUUACGGUGUCCUUCGGGGCUCAGCAC
RNAcentral lists this ribosomal RNA (58 nucleotides) under uncultured organism. RNAcentral describes it as "partial 16S ribosomal RNA". The record is from RNAcentral.